AGGGAAUCUUCCACAAUGGACGCAAGUCUGAUGGAGCAACGCCGCGUGAGUGAAGAAGGUCUUCGGAUCGUAAAGCUCUGUUGUUGGUGAAGAAGGAUAGAGGCAGUAACUGGUCUUUAUUUGACGGUAAUCAACCAGAAAGUCACGGCUAACUACGUGCCAGCAGCCGCGGUAAUACGUAGGUGGCAAGCGUUGUCCGGAUUUAUUGGGCGUAAAGCGAGCGCAGGCGGAAUGAUAAGUCUGAUGUGAAAGCCCACGGCUCAACCGUGGAACUGCAUCGGAAACUGUCAUUCUUGAGUGCAGAAGAGGAGAGUGGAACUCCAUGUGUAGCGGUGGAAUGCGUAGAUAUAUGGAAGAACACCAGUGGCGAAGGCGGCUCUCUGGUCUGCAACUGACGCUGAGGCUCGAAAGCAUGGGUAGCGAACAGGAUUAGAUACCCUGGUAGUCCAUGCCGUAAACGAUGAGCGCUAGGUGUUGGGGACUUUCCGGUUCUCAGUGCCGCAGCAAACGCAUUAAGCGCUCCGCCU
RNAcentral lists this ribosomal RNA (527 nucleotides) under uncultured bacterium. RNAcentral's name for it is "partial 16S ribosomal RNA". It matches the Rfam family "Bacterial small subunit ribosomal RNA", at positions 356 to 874 of the family's 1533-position model. The record is from RNAcentral.